AACCCUAAACUCAAAUUUGUUUUCCCGAAUUUCUCUCUCUCUCUCUCUCUCUCUCUCUCUCUCUCUCUCUCUCUCUCUCUCACAUUCCUUCCCUCUAACCCUAAACUCAAAUUUGUUUUUCCUCAUUUCUCUCUCUCUCUCUCUCUCUCUCGACAAUUCGAUAAUGAGUAGUAGUACCGGAACCAUGUCCAAUAACCCUAAUGAUCAGUGGCUCCAAUUCUACACCCAAAACCUCAAUUCUUCUACUCCUGCUUCAAUGUUUUGCCAUGAUCAAGUCUCUGAU
Molecule: long non-coding RNA, 283 nt
Filed under: Malus domestica (apple)
Lineage: Eukaryota; Viridiplantae; Streptophyta; Magnoliopsida; Rosales; Rosaceae
Description: long non-coding RNA (MDOM_LNC008037)
Source: RNAcentral